GUUGAGCGCCACCUCUCCUCCGCCCAUCUAUAAAAAACCUCCGACUCCUCUCCUCCGCCCGGAGAAGCGCGUGCCAUAGAGAGAGAAAUAGGGAGGGGAAGGGGAGGCAAUGGAUUCCGGCGAUGCAGGAGGCCGCGAAAGGCCUUCCCCGGCGGCGCCCACUCCGGAGUCUCUGGCUCUUCUUCGAGAAGGGAUCUCUCUCGUCCUCUCUCGAUGGACAGCGCUUCAGAUGGCGGUCCGAAACGAGUGGGGCGGAAGGGAUUCCGGCCAGAAAUCGGAGGAGCUCGCCUCCACCCUCCUCUCCUGGUUCUCCCAAUCCAGAACUCCACAUUAUGUUGAUGAUUUGGAAAAUAUACUUGACGAGAACAUGCUGCUGUCUUUCAAUACAACUAUCGAGGAUGGCAGCAUUGAGGAGAUUGCAGAGCAAUUGAUGAUUAUGCAUGAAGACUGCAUUCAGGUCAACCAUGAAUCAGUCAAAAAGCUAAAGAAGUCGAUUCAUAUGAAACGUGCUGCUCCUCAGAUUAGACAGGGGACUAGUUUCUUUUUGUAAAUUAACACAAACAUAAUGAUGGGUCAUUUUCUCUGCCAAUACAGAGACAUGCCAUGACUUGGAGGUCAAUAAUGCUAUAGGUGAAACAUCAGAAUGAAGAAGAAUGUUGAGAUUGAACUGAAGCCCAAAGAGAUGGCCUGGAGGUACGCCAAAGUUGCAGUUGCCGCACAUAAAGGUCAAGAAUGCAAGGGACUUCGGGUCUGAUAAUGUAUCAUGAAAGUAUGACCCUGUUUCAUGUAUGAGAUAACUACUUUUGCUUCAUCUCUUGCUAUUGUUUUACCAUGAGUUUUUAACCUAUUCUGUUGUUAAUCAUAUAUGUUAUAAGAAAUUUGUUCAAUAUAAUACUUCUUUAUGGAUUUACUGACAAA
This is an RNA transcript of Phoenix dactylifera (date palm), 918 nucleotides long. It is a transcript of the gene named pre-rRNA-processing protein TSR2, with no coding region annotated. Lineage: Eukaryota; Viridiplantae; Streptophyta; Magnoliopsida; Arecales; Arecaceae. The record is from RefSeq and is a predicted model, not a curated record.